CUAAGAAUAUUCCGCAAUGGACGAAAGUCUGACGGAGCGACGCCGCGUGGAUGAUGAAGGCCGAAAGGUUGUAAAGUCCUUUUGUCGAUGAAGAAUAAGUGUGGGAGGGAAUGCCCGCAUGAUGACGUUAGUCGGCGAAUAAGCCCCGGCUAAUUACGUGCCAGCAGCCGCGGUAACACGUAAGGGGCAAGCGUUGUUCGGAAUUAUUGGGCGUAAAGGGUACGUAGGCGGUUCAGUAAGCCCGGCGUGAAAUCCCACAGCUUAACUGUGGAGCUGCGCUGGGAACUGCAGGACUUGAGUCAUGGAAGGGGAGUUGGAAUUCCAGGUGUAGGGGUGAAAUCUGUAGAUAUCUGGAAGAACACCGGUGGCGAAGGCGAACUCCUGGCCGAUGACUGACGCUGAGGUACGAAAGCGUGGGGAGCAAACAGG
RNAcentral lists this ribosomal RNA (429 nucleotides) under uncultured Treponema sp. RNAcentral describes it as "bacterial SSU rRNA". It matches the Rfam family "Bacterial small subunit ribosomal RNA", at positions 355 to 776 of the family's 1533-position model. The record is from RNAcentral. Lineage: Bacteria; Pseudomonadati; Spirochaetota; Spirochaetia; Treponematales; Treponemataceae.